RNAcentral lists this ribosomal RNA (577 nucleotides) under Aspergillus fumigatus. RNAcentral describes it as "eukaryotic LSU rRNA". The stretch from base 232 to 383 matches the Rfam family "5.8S ribosomal RNA". The record is from RNAcentral. Lineage: Eukaryota; Fungi; Ascomycota; Eurotiomycetes; Eurotiales; Aspergillaceae.
GAGAGGCUCACAGAGACCCGCAUUUCCGUAGGCGAACUGCGGAAGGAUCAUUAGCGAUUGAGGGUCUCUGGGACCGGCCUCGCACAGGUGUCUAUUGUACCUUGCUUGCUCGGGGCCCCCUGUGUCGAGGCCGCGGGGAGCCUUGCGCCGGCCGCCCGCGCCCGCCGAAGACCCCAACAUGAACGCUGUUCUGAAAGUCUGCAGUCUGAGUUGAUUAUCGUAAUCAGUUAAAACUUUCAACAACGGAUCUCUUGGUUCCGGCAUCGAUGAAGAACGCAGCGAAAUGCGAUAAGUAAUGUGAAUUGCAGAAUUCAGUGAAUCAUCGAGUCUUUGAACGCACAUUGCGCCCUGGUAUUCCGGGGGGCAUGCCUGUCCGAGCGUCAUUGCUGCCCUCAAGCACGGCUUGUGUGUUAGCCUCCCUCUCCCGGGGGACGGGCCGAAAGGCACGGCGGCACGCGUCCGGUCCUCGAGCGUAUGGGGCUUUGUCACCUGCUCUGUAGCCCGGCCCGCCAGCCGACACCCAACUUUAUUUUCUAAGGUGACCCGGAUCAGGUAGGAGCCCGCGACGGUCUUUUUC